Molecule: small nuclear RNA, 162 nt
Organism: Pygocentrus nattereri (red-bellied piranha)
Lineage: Eukaryota; Metazoa; Chordata; Actinopteri; Characiformes; Serrasalmidae
Gene: U1
Rfam family: U1 spliceosomal RNA
About the family: U1 is a small nuclear RNA (snRNA) component of the spliceosome (involved in pre-mRNA splicing).
Source: Ensembl
AAAAUUAUAGAAGCUUAUCAUUUAUCACCAGAUUCUGGUUCAGCCCAAGGCAAGGUUCAGCAAAUGUACUUUGGCUGUGCUGAUCCUUGCGAAUUCCCCAAAUGCGGGAAUUUCAACUGCAAAAUUUCUGGUAGUGGAACACUGUGUUCAUGCUCUCCCCUG